CCUACGGGUGGCUGCAGUCGAGAAUCAUUCACAAUGGGGGAAACCCUGAUGGUGCGACGCCGCGUGGGGGAAUGAAGGUCUUCGGAUUGUAAACCCCUGUCAUGUGGGAGCAAAUUAAAAAGCUAGUACCACAAGCGGAAGAAACGGCUAACUCUGUGCCCGCAGCCGCCGUAAUACCGAGGUCUCAAGCGUUGUUCGGAAUCACUGGGCUUAAAGCGUGCGGAGGCUGUUUCGUAAGUAGUGUGGGAAAGGGGCGGGCUCAACCCGCGGACGGCACAUGAUACUGCGAGACUAGAGUAAUGGAGGGGGAACCGGAAUGCUCGGUGUAGCAGUGAAAUGCGUAGAUAUCGAGAGGAACACUCGUGGCGAAGGCGGGUUCCUGGACAUUAACUGACGCUGAGGCACGAAGGCCAGGGUAGCGAAAGGGAUUAGAUACCCGGGUAGUC
This 446-nucleotide ribosomal RNA is filed under the name uncultured bacterium. Its description in RNAcentral is "partial 16S ribosomal RNA". It matches the Rfam family "Bacterial small subunit ribosomal RNA", at positions 338 to 795 of the family's 1533-position model. The record is from RNAcentral.